CCCUUAGACGUUCUGGGCCGCACGCGCGCUACACUGACCAGUGCAACAAGCAUCCGUCCUUGGCCGACAGGCCCGGGCAAUCUUUGAACGCUGGUCGUGAUGGGGAUAGAUUUUUGCAAUUUUUGGUCUUCAACGAGGAAUUCCUAGUAAACGCAAGUCAUCAACUUGCAUUGAUUACGUCCCUGCCCUUUGUACACACCGCCCGUCGCACCUACCGAUUGAAUGGUCCGGUGAAGCCUCCGGAUUGGCGCGCACCUCGGUGCCGCCGAGAAGUUGGCUAAACCUUACCAUUUAGAGGAAGGUGAAGUCGUAACA
RNAcentral lists this ribosomal RNA (315 nucleotides) under uncultured eukaryote. RNAcentral describes it as "partial 18S ribosomal RNA". It matches the Rfam family "Eukaryotic small subunit ribosomal RNA", at positions 1470 to 1796 of the family's 1831-position model. The record is from RNAcentral.